This 245-nucleotide long non-coding RNA is filed under the name Ananas comosus (pineapple). RNAcentral describes it as "long non-coding RNA (ACOM_LNC029724)". The record is from RNAcentral. Lineage: Eukaryota; Viridiplantae; Streptophyta; Magnoliopsida; Poales; Bromeliaceae.
AAUUCAUUAUCUGAGACUAAAUUGCGACUUCUCAAACAGUGCAACUUGUAUAUUUUUUAUGGUACAACUUAAUCUAAAUAGUUUUAAAUGAUAUAACUUAGUCUCAAACAGUAAAACUUAAAAUGCUACAUCUCUUUUGCAUCAACCAGGCGUUCAUAUUUUGUUAAUAAACUAGAUUGUGAAAUUUGAUUAUAAUAAUCCUACAAAUUCGAACAAAAAAAUAUAAUAAAUUAAAAUUUGAGAAC